UUCCUACGGGAGGCAGCAGUGAGGAAUAUUGGUCAAUGGGCGCGAGCCUGAACCAGCCAAGUCGCGUGAGGGAAGACGGUCCUAUGGAUUGUAAACCUCUUUUGUCGGGGAGCAAAAGACGCCACGCGCGGCGUUCCGAGAGUACCCGAAGAAAAAGCAUCGGCUAACUCCGUGCCAGCAGCCGCGGUAAUACGGCGGAUGCGAGCGUUAUCCGGAUUUAUUGGGGUUAAAGGGUGCGCAGGCGGAAGAUCAAGUCAGCGGUAAUAUUGAGAGGAUCAACCUCUUCGAGCCGUUGAAAAUGGUUU
Molecule: ribosomal RNA, 305 nt
Filed under: uncultured bacterium
Lineage: Bacteria
Description: bacterial SSU rRNA
Rfam family: Bacterial small subunit ribosomal RNA
Source: RNAcentral